RNAcentral lists this ribosomal RNA (468 nucleotides) under uncultured bacterium. RNAcentral's name for it is "partial 16S ribosomal RNA". It matches the Rfam family "Bacterial small subunit ribosomal RNA", at positions 28 to 507 of the family's 1533-position model. The record is from RNAcentral.
GACGAACGCUGGCGGCGUGCUUAACACAUGCAAGUCGAACGGAAAGGCCCUGCUUUUGUGGGGUGCUCGAGUGGCGAACGGGUGAGUAACACGUGAGUAACCUGCCCUUGACUUUGGGAUAACUUCAGGAAACUGGGGCUAAUACCGGAUAGGAGCUCCUGCUGCAUGGUGGGGGUUGGAAAGUUUCGGCGGUUGGGGAUGGACUCGCGGCUUAUCAGCUUGUUGGUGGGGUAGUGGCUUACCAAGGCUUUGACGGGUAGCCGGCCUGAGAGGGUGACCGGACAAAUUGGGACUGAGAUACGGCCCAGACUAGUCCGGGAGGCAGGAGUGGGGUAUAGUGCACAAGGGGAGGAAGCAUGAUGCAGCAAAGCAGCGUGCGGGAUGACGGGCUUCGGGUUGUAAACCGAUUUCGCCUGUGACGAAGCGAGAAUGACGGUAAUGGGUAAAGAAGCACCGGCUAACUACGUG